UCCGGUUUGUCACCGGCAGUCUCAUUAGAGUGCUCAACUGAAUGUAGCAACUAAUGACAAGGGUUGCGCUCGUUGCGGGACUUAACCCAACAUGUCACCACACGAGCUGACGACAGCCAUGCAGCACCUGUCUUCACGUAGUAUUGCUACUAAAGCCCUAUCUCUAGGGUUGUCGUGAGAUGUCAAAUCCAGGUAAGGUUCUUCGCGUUGCUUCGAAUUAAACCACAUGAUCCACCGCUUGUGCGGGCCCCCGUCAAUUCCUUUGAGUUUUAGUCUUGCGCCCGUACUUCCCAGGCGGGGUACUUAUUGCGUUAGCGCCGGUUCAGCGGGGGUCAAGACCCACCAAACCUAGUACCCAUCGUUUACAGCGUGGACUAC
Molecule: unclassified non-coding RNA, 378 nt
Filed under: uncultured Oligoflexales bacterium
Lineage: Bacteria; Pseudomonadati; Bdellovibrionota; Oligoflexia; Oligoflexales
Description: contains 16S-23S intergenic spacer region
Source: RNAcentral